Molecule: long non-coding RNA, 232 nt
Organism: Lampris incognitus (smalleye Pacific opah)
Lineage: Eukaryota; Metazoa; Chordata; Actinopteri; Lampriformes; Lampridae
Exons: 3
Source: RefSeq, a predicted model, not a curated record
GCUUUUUUGCUCUAGGACACAUGCAGCCAGAGGUACAGAGAUGAUGGCAAUAACAGCAGAGACACUGAUGCCAUAUGCCAGACAGUCCCUGAACAGUGGCCAGCACGUAAGACGGCAUGCCUGAAUAAGGAUAAAGAAAGAAGACAAAAAGGUCAGGAGUCCACAUGCAGCACAGAUUCCUAGGAGGUUGUAAACUGCUGAUCCCACUAUGGUGCUCACUCCAAUGUCGCCC